This 428-nucleotide long non-coding RNA is filed under the name Malus domestica (apple). Its description in RNAcentral is "long non-coding RNA (MDOM_LNC020493)". Lineage: Eukaryota; Viridiplantae; Streptophyta; Magnoliopsida; Rosales; Rosaceae. The record is from RNAcentral.
UCACACCGUGUCGUAAAGUCUAUAAGUCUGUCUAUGAGAGGAAGAGGAAAGUUAUCCUUCGGCCAUCCUUUGUUUAGGUUGGUGUAGUCGACACAUAUUCUCCACAAGACCUUUUGGAGCAAGAGACUUUCUUUGGUCGGAUUUUUCUUAACAAUGACCACAUUUGCUACCCAUGUUGGGUAAUUGACUUCGCGAACGAAGCCUAUGCCUUUGAGUUUUUCAACUUCUGCCUUCAUUGCUUCGUAUCGUUCAACGUCAUAAGAUCUUCGCUUCUGUCUCACCGGGUUGGUCUUGGGGAUCAAUACUCAAGUGAUGACAUAUGAUAUCGGGAGAGAUGCCUGGCAUGUCCUCGUAUGACCAGGCAAAGACCUCAGUGUUCUCUUGCAAAAAAGAGAUCAAUGCCAACUAAAUGUGUGGUGACAAGAUGG